GCAACGACCACCCAGGGCCGGAAAGUUGGUCAAACCCGGUCAUUUAGAGGAAGUAAAAGUCGUAACAAGGUCUCCGUAGGUGAACCUGCGGAGGGAUCAUU
Molecule: ribosomal RNA, 101 nt
Filed under: Cladosporium pseudocladosporioides
Lineage: Eukaryota; Fungi; Ascomycota; Dothideomycetes; Cladosporiales; Cladosporiaceae
Description: partial 18S ribosomal RNA
Rfam family: Eukaryotic small subunit ribosomal RNA
Source: RNAcentral